UUAUUCCUGGGGUGUUCGUCAAUAUGGUGACGUCCCUGAGCCGAUAAUUGCAAUACCGGCGAUCUUGCUUGUUACUAUUGUGCAGGCUCAGCAUGUACUGAGAAGCCUACGGUAACCACAGGAUCACCACCUUGAGCCAUAGGGUUCAAGGGCUAAUACCAUGUAACGGCACUCUGGGAACCCU
RNAcentral lists this non-coding RNA (184 nucleotides) under Motilimonas pumila. RNAcentral describes it as "6S / SsrS RNA". It matches the Rfam family "6S / SsrS RNA". Rfam says of the family: E. coli 6S RNA was the first non coding RNA to be sequenced, but its function was unknown until recently. It consists of 184 nucleotides that fold into an extended hairpin structure with a large single-stranded internal bulge. The 6S RNA specifically associates with RNA polymerase holoenzyme containing the sigma70 specificity factor. The record is from Rfam by way of RNAcentral. Lineage: Bacteria; Pseudomonadati; Pseudomonadota; Gammaproteobacteria; Alteromonadales.